GGCGAUCGGGCAUGAUCAUGCAUCAUGUCAGGAAGGUCCAUGCUCGCACAGACUGAGAUGUCUGUAGUGUUUGUGCUCGCUGAAAAAAUAAGGCGGGGCACCGAUCUGAUCGGUGACGGCGGGAAAACCGGCUAAGGCGUAAGCUAUGCCCCAGUAUCCCUGAAAAGUGCCACAGUGACGAAGCAGUAUUGGAAACAGUGCUGGUGGAACGCGGUAAACCCCUCAAGCGGUAAACCCAAACUACGGUAGGGGAGCUUUGGAUAGCGAAUUGAAGCGAUUCCAGGGGAGAGUUUUUACUCUGAGAUAGAUGAUUGCCUCGACGUUGUUAUGACCUGGUGACAAUGUUACGACAAAACAUGGCCUACAG
Molecule: RNase P RNA, 367 nt
Filed under: uncultured Limosilactobacillus sp.
Lineage: Bacteria; Bacillati; Bacillota; Bacilli; Lactobacillales; Lactobacillaceae
Description: Bacterial RNase P class B
Rfam family: Bacterial RNase P class B
About the family: Ribonuclease P (RNase P) is a ubiquitous endoribonuclease, found in archaea, bacteria and eukarya as well as chloroplasts and mitochondria.
Source: RNAcentral